GGAGGAAAAGAAACCAACAGGGAUUGCCUUAGUAACGGCGAGUGAAGCGGCAAAAGCUCAAAUUUGAAAUCUGGCGCCUUCGGUGUCCGAGUUGUAAUUUGAAGAAGGUAACUUUGGAGUUGGCUCUUGUCUAUGUUCCUUGGAACAGGACGUCACAGAGGGUGAGAAUCCCGUGCGAUGAGAUGCCCAAUUCUAUGUAAAGUGCUUUCGAAGAGUCGAGUUGUUUGGGAAUGCAGCUCUAAGUGGGUGGUAAAUUCCAUCUAAAGCUAAAUAUUGGCGAGAGACCGAUAGCGAACAAGUACAGUGAUGGAAAGAUGAAAAGAACUUUGAAAAGAGAGUGAAAAAGUACGUGAAAUUGUUGAAAGGGAAGGGCUUGAGAUCAGACUUGGUAUUUUGCGAUCCUUUCCUUCUUGGUUGGGUUCUCCGCAGCUUACUGGGCCAGCAUCGGUUUGGAUGGUAGGAUAAUGAUUAAGGAAUGUGGCUCUACUUCGGUGGAGUGUUAUAGCCUUGGUUGAUACUGCCUGUCUAGACCGAGGACUGCGUCUUUGACUAGGAUGCUGGCAUAAUGAUCUUAAGCCACCCGUCUUG
This 588-nucleotide ribosomal RNA is filed under the name Debaryomyces hansenii. Its description in RNAcentral is "eukaryotic LSU rRNA". It matches the Rfam family "Eukaryotic large subunit ribosomal RNA", at positions 52 to 656 of the family's 3401-position model. Lineage: Eukaryota; Fungi; Ascomycota; Pichiomycetes; Serinales; Debaryomycetaceae. The record is from RNAcentral.